This is a non-coding RNA of Cinara cedri, 230 nucleotides long. The record is from the annotation of a GenBank genome assembly. NCBI's taxonomy places the organism in Eukaryota, Metazoa, Arthropoda, Insecta, Hemiptera, Aphididae.
AAUGAUGAUCUAAUAGACAUUUUUUUCAGUUGACACAGAUUUUUUACGUACGAGACAGUGUAUAACCUUUCCGUCUGAUGAAAAUACUUCUUUAUUUUCAUUGUAAGGAGCAAUCUAAAUUCUAAUCGAAAUUUUACUUUUUAAAAUUGAUUUUAUUUCAGGCAUUACGCCGAAUACGUUCAUUGUGCGGCCAAACUGAUCAAAGAAAUAGGUACUAAAGUAUCAACAGG